This 254-nucleotide ribosomal RNA is filed under the name uncultured bacterium. Its description in RNAcentral is "partial 16S ribosomal RNA". It matches the Rfam family "Bacterial small subunit ribosomal RNA", at positions 524 to 776 of the family's 1533-position model. The record is from RNAcentral.
UACGUAGGGUCCGAGCGUUGUCCGGAUUUAUUGGGCGUAAAGAGCUCGUAGGCGGUUCCGUAAGUCAGAUGUGAAAACUCAGGGCUCAACCCGGAGACGCCAUCUGAUACUGCGGUGACUGGAGUCUGGUAGGGGAACACGGAAUUCCUGGUGUAGCGGUGAAAUGCGCAGAUAUCAGGAGGAACACCGAUGGCGAAGGCAGUUCUCUGGGCCGUAACUGACGCUGAGGAGCGAAAGCGUGGGGAGCGAACAGG